CUCUUAUCCAGAGUAGGUGGAGGGACUGGCCCGAUGAAACCCGGCAACCGGCAUUUAAUGUACGGUGCUAAAUCCUGCAGGAAAAAUACUGGGAGAUGAGAG
This 102-nucleotide non-coding RNA is filed under the name Desulfitobacterium dichloroeliminans. Its description in RNAcentral is "SAM-I sequence". It matches the Rfam family "SAM riboswitch aptamer (S box leader)". Rfam says of the family: The SAM riboswitch is found upstream of a number of genes which code for proteins involved in methionine or cysteine biosynthesis in Gram-positive bacteria. RNAcentral also lists the same sequence under 1 other name. Lineage: Bacteria; Bacillati; Bacillota; Clostridia; Eubacteriales; Desulfitobacteriaceae. The record is from RNAcentral.